This 468-nucleotide ribosomal RNA is filed under the name uncultured bacterium. Its description in RNAcentral is "partial 16S ribosomal RNA". It matches the Rfam family "Bacterial small subunit ribosomal RNA", at positions 28 to 507 of the family's 1533-position model. The record is from RNAcentral.
GAUGAACGCUGACAGAAUGCUUAACACAUGCAAGUCAACUUGAAUUUGGGUUUUUUAACUUAGAUUUGGGUGGCGGACGGGUGAGUAACGCGUAAAGAACUUGCCUCACAGCUAGGGACAACAUUUGGAAACGAAUGCUAAUACCUGAUAUUAUGAUUAUAAGGCAUCUUAGAAUUAUGAAAGCUAUAUGCGCUGUGAGAGAGCUUUGCGUCCCAUUAGCUAGUUGGAGAGGUAACGGCUCACCAAGGCGAUGAUGGGUAGCCGGCCUGAGAGGGUGAACGGCCACAAGGGGACUGAGACACGGCCCUUACGCCUACGGGAGGCAGCAGUGGGGAAUAUUGGACAAUGGACCAAGAGUCUGAUCCAGCAAUUCUGUGUGCACGAUGACGUUUUUCGGAAUGUAAAGUGCUUUCAGUUGGGAAGAAAAAAAUGACGGUACCAACAGAAGAAGUGACGGCUAAAUACGUG